This is a long non-coding RNA of Nothoprocta perdicaria, 154 nucleotides long. RefSeq lists it as uncharacterized. Lineage: Eukaryota; Metazoa; Chordata; Aves; Tinamiformes; Tinamidae. The record is from RefSeq and is a predicted model, not a curated record. The transcript is spliced from 2 exons.
GUGCUCUCAUCGUGCUCAGAAGUCUGCAGCGUCUGAGUGCCUUGCAACAGACCUCCCUCAAGACUGAAGGCCCUUGGCAAAUGCUGAUCCCUAUUUCCGUGGUGUCAACUGAGCGAACUAUCUGGAGAAUUGCACACAAAACAAAAGGAUUGCU